UGGAGAGCUUGCUCUCUGAUGGCGAGUGGCGAACGGGUGAGUAAUAUAUCGGAACGUGCCCAGUAAUGGGGAACAACUAAUUGAAAGAUUAGCUAAUACCGCAUACGCCCUACGGGGGAAAGCAGGGGAUCGUAAGACCUUGCGUUAAUGGAGCGGCCGAUAUCUGAUUAGCUUGUUGGUGAGGUAAAGGCUCACCAAGGCGACGAUCAGUAGCUGGUUUGAGAGAACGACCAGCCACACUGGAACUGAGACACGGUCCAGACUCC
RNAcentral lists this ribosomal RNA (266 nucleotides) under uncultured bacterium. Its description in RNAcentral is "partial 16S ribosomal RNA". It matches the Rfam family "Bacterial small subunit ribosomal RNA", at positions 72 to 339 of the family's 1533-position model. The record is from RNAcentral.